UGUAGGGGUGCAUGUAGGCACGGUCCUUGUGAUGCGGUACGUGAUGGUGUGUGAGUGGUAUUUGGUUUGUGUGGUUGGCGGGCUCUUUGCUUGUGCAUUGGACCGUUCACCCAACAUUACCUUUUCAUUGUAUGCUGCAAGUGCACCAUUUUGCCUUGGGCGACGUGUGGUCCCUAUGUUAGAUUCCGAUUAAUGGUAUUGUUGUUGUCCCUUUAAAGAGUGAUAUUCGCUCUACGUCCGUAAAAGGAGGUCGAGCGGACCAUGAAACUUGACUCGUUAUCCUCCUGUUUUGUGAAAACAAGCAUGAUAGGGUUGGAUUAUGAUCUCAAGUUGGGCCCUAGGAUACAGAAAGUUGUGUGGGAGUUGAUGUUAAAACGUCGCAAACCCAAAGCGUUGGUACGCUAACGAUGGAUGACAUUCGAGUGUGUUGUGAUUCUUUCAUUCUAGAAAGGUUCAUGCGCGCCGAUGUCGACCAAGGAGUGCUACCCUGGUUGAUCCUG
RNAcentral lists this unclassified non-coding RNA (500 nucleotides) under Salicornia perennans. RNAcentral's name for it is "partial external transcribed spacer". The record is from RNAcentral. Lineage: Eukaryota; Viridiplantae; Streptophyta; Magnoliopsida; Caryophyllales; Amaranthaceae.